RNAcentral lists this unclassified non-coding RNA (300 nucleotides) under Hevea brasiliensis (rubber tree). The record is from RNAcentral. Lineage: Eukaryota; Viridiplantae; Streptophyta; Magnoliopsida; Malpighiales; Euphorbiaceae.
GAUGAUAUAUCUUGUGUUGUUGUUAGGUUCAGGGUGUAAAGCUCAUUGAAGCUAUCGUUCUCCUGGUGCUGCAUGUAUACCUAUUAUGAAAGUUCCUUUACAUGGGUUGCUGAUUUGUAGAUUAAACGACAAAUACAUAUACUUGGUUGGGAUAACCAUGAGGAUUUGCAGUAGUUGUGAUUUGCCAAAGGGAAGGACAAAAGGGUCCCCAGCCUCUGUAAAUUUAUUUUAUUGAUUAGGUGCCGUUGUUUGAAAUUGUUUGAUUUCUUUAUGAAAUUGAAUUAGAAAUCUGAUUUACAU